RNAcentral lists this ribosomal RNA (346 nucleotides) under uncultured eukaryote. RNAcentral's name for it is "SSU rRNA". It matches the Rfam family "Eukaryotic small subunit ribosomal RNA", at positions 594 to 945 of the family's 1831-position model. The record is from RNAcentral.
AUAGCGUAUAUUAAAGUUGUUGUGGUUAAAAAGCUCGUAGUUGAACCUUGGGCCUGGCUGGCCGGUCCCCCUCACCGGGUGCACUGAUCCAGCCGGGUCUUUCCCGCUGUGGAACCCCAUGGCCUUCACUGGUCGUGGCGGGGAAACAGGACUUUUACUUUGAAAAAAUUAGAGUGCUCCAAGCAGGCAUUUGCUCGAAUACAUUAGCAUGGAAUAAUAAAAUAGGACGUGUGGUUCUAUUUUGUUGGUUUCUAGAACCGCCGUAAUGAUUAAUAGGGACAGUCGGGGGCAUCAGUAUUCAAUUGUCAGAGGUGAAAUUCUUGGAUCUAUUGAAGACUAACUACUG